GUGCAACUUGCUUUGCAGCUGCAGGAAAUGGACAAGGUAUUCACAGAUAAACAUCAGAAAUACAUCCUGUUAUCUUUUCUGAUUGCAAAAAAUGUAAUCAGGCUUUAAGUAUAAAAGCGAACACACCAUGAAACGGAUAACUGAAAGGGUUUUACUUCUUCAAAGUGGUCUCAAGAAGAGCACAUUUCUCAAGAUUAUCAGUGUCAAUCUUAAGAAUUGAAAAUGGCAACAAGACAAUCAUGGUUCACCAUGGGGAAGGAAAUGCUGAAGAGUUCUUUUGUGCCAAAUGUGAUUUUUGGCUCCUUACUUGCAUGCAUGGAGAAGUUGAUGGAAGUGGAGUUUGAAUGUCCUUGCGAUCCUGAAGUGAACCUCUUGCUUGUAACUGCAUACUUUGCUGCUCCUGCUGUUUUUAUCUUUGUGGUGACAAGUGCUCGAGGAUGUAGGAACAAGAAGUGUUCAAAUGGUUGGACAAAUAAUGUGUUCAUGGGCUUUGCCCAGGCAAUACUGUGGCUCAUCCUGUUGUUCAUAGAUGGCAACUACUUAGCUUGUGCCAAGGCAGACUGGUCGGGAGUGUAUGAAGAGGCCCCUGGAGCUGCUCAUUGGAAAUGGUGCAAACCUAAUAACUCAACAAUCGAACUGGUCAAGACUGAGAAAUGGUUUUUUCUGUCUAAGCUCAUUGGAUUGGGGCUCAUCGUGGUUCUCAGUAUGAUCAUUGCUCCAUGGAUGUGCUGCUGGAUGACAGACAAAAGAGAGGGAAACGAAGACGAAGAAACAGUGCAGAUGAAUCAGGUCAACCAGUAAAGUCAGGGAACAGCAGAAACUGGAUCAAGAUCUGGGACACAGAGGGUGUAAACUAUGCCUGUCAUGCAGUCGCAGCUGGUGAAAAGGAUGAGGCUUUGAAAAGAUCCUAGAAUUCUUACCAUAUAAAUAUUAUACAUUUACAAUGAAGUAAAAAAUUAUUGGCUAAAGCUUAGAAAAAGCUUUGAUUGGUAUUAUCACAUUGCUGUAUUGGUAGAAUUAUCUAGUCUGUCAUUUUGGCAAAAUUAAGUAUAAUUGAACAUUAUGUAAAAAUCUUUAAAGUGAUGAUGGGUUUGUUGCAUCAUGUCAAAUAUCUUGUAAACAAAUAAGUCACUUAGAAACAGAACUACAUGAGACAUGAUGCAAUCAAAACUCCAAAGGGUAAAUUUGACUUUUUUAACAUAAGAUUUCGGACCAAAACUUUCCCAUUUACAAUUGUAUAAAAUUAAUAUAACUAGAAUAUAUUUUGAUAAUCCUCCUGAACCAUUCAUUAUGAUUUAAAUAAGUAUAUAAGGAAUUAAUUUUUAUUUAGCCUUUUUAUUUUUGUUAUGUCAGGAUUUUAACACAUACUUGCAAUUAGGUCCUAAAUAAAGCUGUAGAUAUAAGAGUUUGCUGAGUAUAAGAGUUUUGCUAAUGCUUAUUGUCUGUUAAUGAAGAGUUUAUGGACAUCACAAGUUUAAUAAAGACGUGUUGAUCCUAUUUGGAUCUUCAUCAGUCCAGACUAUCUGAAAAAUUGUAACCACUCAUAUUUAUACAUCAGUGACAGCAAUAGGUUGACAAGCUCCAUGAUCUGAGGUGUGGUGAACCAUCCAAACAUACAAAAACAAUUACAUAAUAAUCAGCAUAUAGAAAAAACGAACAAUGAUAUAUACUGACGAAACAUUAAAUAUACAUUUUCUAUGUGAUGUUAAAUCAAAUUCAUCAUCUCAAAAAUCAAGAACCAAAUUAUCUACAUUCACAAAUAUAUUAUUAUAUAUAAGUUCCAUAAGAGAGAAAAAGAGGUGAUGAAUUUGAUAAAACAUGUAUUGAUCUAUAUAAGAUAAACAAACAUCCUGAUUAAACUUCUGUGGCAAAUGCUUUUUGUAUUUCUCAUUUUGUGCAUCACAUUAUUACAAAUUUUCUGUAACUAGUCUCAGUGCUUCUUUUGUGUGAUCGAAACAAAGAGAGUGAAAUGAUAUGUAAUAUGUAAUAUUUACUUCCUUUCUAUAUACAUUGAUUGUAUCAUGAUUGAAUAAACAAUUUUAAAUGACAGUUACUUUGCUUUUUGUCUUUAAUGACUGGAGGAAUUGUUUCUAAUG
Sparus aurata (gilthead seabream) is the source of this 2096-nucleotide long non-coding RNA. NCBI's taxonomy places the organism in Eukaryota, Metazoa, Chordata, Actinopteri, Spariformes, Sparidae. The record is from Ensembl.